CGGGAAUUUUCCGCAAUGGGCGAAAGCCUGACGGAGCAACGCCGCGUGAGUGAGGACGGCCUUCGGGUUGUAAAACUCUGUUCUUGAGGAAGAACUCCGGUCAGGUGAACAGUCUGACUGGUUGACGGUACUCAAGGAGAAAGCCCCGGCUAACUACGCGCCAGCAGCCGCGGUAAUACGUAGGGGGCAAGCGUUAUCCGGAAUUAUUGGGCGUAAAGCGCGCGCAGGCGGCCGGUUAAGUCAGGUGUGAAAGGCUGCGGCUCAACCGCAGAGCUGCAUCUGAAACUGGUCGGCUUGAGUGCAGGAGAGGGGAGCGGAAUUCCCGGUGUAGCGGUGGAAUGCGUAGAGAUCGGGAGGAACACCAGUGGCGAAGGCGGCUCUCUGGCCUGUAACUGACGCUGAGGCGCGAAAGCGUGGGGAGCGAAC
Molecule: ribosomal RNA, 426 nt
Filed under: uncultured bacterium
Lineage: Bacteria
Description: bacterial SSU rRNA
Rfam family: Bacterial small subunit ribosomal RNA
Source: RNAcentral